This 2733-nucleotide unclassified non-coding RNA is filed under the name Hevea brasiliensis (rubber tree). Lineage: Eukaryota; Viridiplantae; Streptophyta; Magnoliopsida; Malpighiales; Euphorbiaceae. The record is from RNAcentral.
AACUGCAGAUGUGCAUGAUUGUGAAUGAAUCUCUAAGGCUAUAUCCUCCUGUUGUUAAUCUGGCAAGACAAAUACAUGAUAAAGUUGUGCUGGGGAAUCUAAUUCUUCCAGCAAAGGUUCAAGUCUCUAUUCCUAUUCUAGCAAUUCAUCAUGACCCUCAGAUAUGGGGAGAAGACGUUGAUCUUUUCAAACCAAAGAGAUUUGCACAAGGGGUGGCUAAAGCUACAAACAAUAAUAUAGCUGCAUUUUUGCCCUUUGGUCUGGGACCUCGAAACUGUGUGGGCUCAAAUUUUGCAGUCACAGAAGCAAAAAUUGCACUUUCAAUGAUUUUGCAGCACUAUAGGUUUACUCUAUCCCCCACUUAUGUCCAUUCUCCAGCUUAUCUUCUCACAAUGAACCCAAAACAUGGAAUUCAAGUCAAACUCCAAGCACUAUAAGCCCGGAUUCUAGAAUCCGCAGAAGUGCCAGCCCUUCUGAAGUCACUCGUAGAAGCUACAGUCCGCCUGCUGCUAUAAUGGAAGCUAGCUUGUAUGUAGAAUCCACAACUCUCUUUUGUUAGUACUCAGAAACAUGAAGUGGAUAAAAAUUUCUCCUUCAUGCGAGAAAUAAGCUUAAAUUUUUCCUCAGCCUCAACCUGCUGACGUAUGUCUGUUCUUGAUGCUCGGUCAGGAUGAAAUUUCAACAAGGCCCGUUUAUAAGCUGCAUGUACCUCCUGCGACAAGGGAUGGAAUCCACCUCCCACAUGGAUACCCAAGCCACGAAGUAACGAAGCCAUAUCAAUGCAUGUAUUUUCUAAUUUGUAAAGCUCCUUCCUCACUUCAGCACGAAGAUUCUCUUUCAUGUUCAAAUUUUCCUCAUCCUUCCUCUGCGUCUCUCUCACUUCUUCCACACGCUGCUUUUGCCUUUUCUCCAUGUCUAAAAUACGCAAAGUUUCAGCUUUUCUUCUCUUUCGCAAUCUCAUAGCUUCUUCUGCCUGAAUUUGCAGUUGUCGCUGCCUGGCUACCCAUUCUUGUUCUUCUGCUCGCUUGUAUUCAUCAGUCUCCUUGAGCUUUUCUCUGUCGUUGAUUAUAUCUCUUUGAACAGCAGGAAUAACAUCACGAUUUAGAGCAUAUAAGGGAUUCUUCCCAUCAGAAAUUAGAAUAUCAGAAGAGGAAUUAGUAAAUGGGUUAUCUCCGUCUAUAGAACUUAAUGUCCCAGAAACUAGUUUAUCUUUCUCCUUAGAACCAACACUAUUGCAUUGUGCAACAUUUGCGCAAGUUUCAAAGCUAGAAGUUGCUGGUGUGAAGUUUCCACCUUUCUCCAUGGAAAGGUCUUUCCCGUGAUUAACACUGCACGUUUCACCCAAACACUGACCCUUGCACAAAGAAGCAUCUUCAUCGUGAACACUAGCUCUCUCAUAAUCAGAGUUUAAGUUAGGCUUCUGUUGGAAACUUGGAAAAGAAUGUUCUCCCUUUGUUCUUUGUUUGCCAUGCUGAAAACAGUUUCUUGUAUCCUGACAUUGUUCAUAUCCCCCUUUAUGAAUGGACCAUGGAGGAGGCCCAAGAGGACCUUUUCUUUCAUUCUGAAAUCUACUGUCAUAUCCAUUCAUAUUUUGACUCUCAUCACGGAAAGAAUUACAAUCUUCCAUGCAUGUCUCUCUUAAUGUAACAUCAUCCUUCAUAUGUGUAUCCUUUCCUGACGCCGUUUUCCACUGCCAUGAAAAACUUUCCUUGUCAAUUUUCUGAUCAGAUCUUGCAAAAGGGCAUCCCAUCCAAGGAUCGAAAGCACUGCCUACAAAUCGAUCUCCAGUAGCAUUACAAUUAGACAAAUUUUCCUCUUGAAAGUUCACAUUUUUUGAACUGAAACAAACAGGGUCUUCUAAAUUUUGUUUAGUCCUGUUUUCAACUCUAACAUUUAAAUGAAUAUCACUGUGGGAACUGCAUGGACUUUCCUGAUCCUCCAGCCCAGAUUCGCCCUUAUGAUAGAUAUGUGAUUUCCUCUUUAGAGAAGCUUUUUCCCAUUGUUCACGAAGGUCACUUGAAGAACCUUCCAUAACUUCACAAUCAGAAGAACUGCUUCCAGAUGAAUCACUUUCAGACUCGGAAUUCAAACCAUAACGAUUUCUAGAUGGAGAUUUCUUAGUAUAGGUUGUCUUGCAUUUUGAUAACUUGAAUGCAGAUCUUUUUUCCAGAACAACCCGGCAAUCUUUGGCAUCUGCAUCUUCAGAUUUCUUCAUAGAAUCAGAGGCAGGACUAUUUUUGCUUGGAGUGUCAUCACCAUUUAAGCCUCCUUCAUUUUCCACAUUAAAUUCAGGAUGGUCUACAUAAUCACUUUCAUCAUCAUCAAUGCUUAUAAUUCCCUGAAUUGGAAAUCUUUUGCCUUCUCUAAGUACAGUUGAACCUUUAAACUUCUGCUGCAAAGACUCAGGAACAUCAAUGAUAAUAACAUUAUCAAAUCCAUCACUGUCAACAUCAAUGAUAACAACAUUAUCAAGAUGCCCGCGCAUUUUGCGACUUCUCAUUGCUUUCUUCCCAGAACCAGUACUAGGCAUCGAAUAAUUGCUUGAUGCUUCCUCUCCUCUCAUUUAGUUCUGUGCUCUUUCACCAGCAAAACUUUCGCCCUUCCCAAUCAAACAAAACCAAAAGUAGAUAUAGAGAGAAGAUGGAACUAACGUUUCUUUCUUUCUCUUCCUUCUGCACAUUUAGGGUUUUGAAAAUUGAAAACGAAGAUUUUGGUACCAAAAAGCAAAACAAG